RNAcentral lists this ribosomal RNA (379 nucleotides) under uncultured bacterium. Its description in RNAcentral is "bacterial SSU rRNA". It matches the Rfam family "Bacterial small subunit ribosomal RNA", at positions 28 to 407 of the family's 1533-position model. The record is from RNAcentral.
GACGAACGCUGGCGGCGUGCUUAACACAUGCAAGUCGAACGAGGCCCACCUUUCGGGGUGGUGUUCUAGUGGCGAACGGGUGAGUAACACGUGGGCAACCUGCCCUCAGCUCUGGGAUAACUCCAAGAAAUUGGGGCUAAUACCGGAUAUGACUGCUGACCGCAUGGUCUGGUGGUGGAAAGAUUUAUCGGCUGGGGAUGGGCCCGCGGCCUAUCAGCUUGUUGGUGGGGUAGUGGCCACCAAGGCGACGACGGGUAGCCGGCCUGAGAGGGUGACCGGCCACACUGGGACUGAGACACGGCCCAGACUCCUACGGGAGGCAGCAGUGGGGAAUAUUGCGCAAUGGGCGGAAGCCUGACGCAGCGACGCCGCGUGGGGA